UCAGACCUACCUUGACUGACUGGAGAGGCACAGAACCAACUAUCACCUUUGAAAAUAUUUUCCAGGAAAUGGUAUAAAGAACACUGCAAAGAAGGCAUAAGAGAUUCUUACUGAGACCCUCAAAUUGGGAAUUCUGACUUUCUGGUAAGUUUUUCUGCCCUUCUUGGGACCCCUAAAAACAUCAGUCUGUCUGAGAAAGCAGUGGGUAGUACCCUCCAGUUUUUUUUAGACAGUUUCGCUCUUGUUGCCCAGGCUGGCGUGCAAUGGCACAAUAUUGGCUCACUGCGACCUGUGCCUCCCGGGUUCAAGCAAUUCUGUCUCAGCCUCCCAAGUAGCUGGGAUUACAGGCACCCGCCUGGCUCAUUUUUGGAUUUUCUUUUAGUAGAGACAGGGUUUCACCAUGUUGGCCAGGCUGAUCCUGAACUCCUGACCUCAGUUAAUCCACUCACCUUGGCCUCCCAAAGUGCUGGGAUUAUAGGCGUGAGCCACUGUGCCCGGCCUAGUACCCUCCAGUUUUUUUUGUUUUGUUUGAGAUGGAGUUUCGCUCUUGUUGCCCAGGCAGAGUGCAAUGGCACAAAUCUUGGCUUACCGCAACCUCUGCCUCCCAGCUUCAAUUGAUUCUCCUGCCUCAUCCUCCUCAGUAGCUGGGAUUAUAGGCAUGCACCACCAUGCCCGGCUAAUUUUUGUAUUUUUAGUAAAGACGGGGUCUCUCCAUGUUGGUCAGGCUGGUCUCGAACUCCUGACCUCAGGUCUUGGCCUCCCAAAGUGCUGGGAUUACAGGCAUGAGACACCGUGCCCAGCCAAGUACCCUCCAGUUUUAAACCACAUGGCUACUAAACUUCAGUUACCUAAAGCCAUGAAAACUAAUUAAACUCUCUCCUGACACUGCUUCAACAGCCCCUGACUACCUUUUAGUCUGCUUUUCCAAUAACUCCUUAAUCAUUAACUUUCAGAUCCAACCACAGGCCAGUAAAAUUCCUGCAAGGACAAUAAAAUCAGAACAAUCCUCAUGCCCCUGAGGAAUUUUCAUUCUACUUGGCCAAGGCCAGCUUUGUAACUGCUGAAGGCCACUAUGAGCCCCAACUGCAAAUAUGCCACUUAAAAGGCAGGGAACACUUUAUUCCUGGAAAAAUAUCAACAGACAAACCCCAUGGGGUUCAAGCAGGGAUGCCUUGUCCUUAAAUCAUAUAUUCCAAAGUGAGGAAUGCCUAUUACUCAAGAUGAGUUUGUGUUGGCAGAUGCCGAUUUCAUUAAAUAACCUUUCUUCAUUAUGUUCCACUUUGGUGAACUUCUCCCUUUGUCUCUAGGAGUUUGGGUCUCUUAUGGUUUAGACGUUUGACCCUCCCAAGCCUCAUGUUAAAAUCUGAUCCCCAGUGUUGGAAGUGGGGACCUAAUGGGAGGUGUUUGGGUCAUGGGGGUGGACCCCUCAUGAACAGAUUAAUGCCCUCCCUGGGGGAUGGAAGACCUAUUCUCGCAUUCAUUCCUGAAAGAGCUGAUGAGUGAUGUCUGCCACUGGAUCCAAGUGGGAAUGGCAGUACAUGUGUGUUUGACAGCCCUGGGCACUCCAACCUCUGCCCUUACCACAGAAGGGAUCUGAAGUAGCUGGUGUGUCCAGUUUCACAAAGGCUGCUUCAAUAGCUUGGCUGAAGGCUAUUUUGAAACUGGGCACAGGAACACAGUUGUUUAAGACAGCCUGGCACCUCCUCCCCUCCUUGCUUCCUCUCUUGCCAUGUGAUCUCUUCACAAGCAGGGACCCCUUCACUUCGUGUACCAUGAGUGGAAGCAGCCUGAGGCACUCACCAGAUGCCCAGUCCUCCAGCCAGCACAGUCAUGAGCCAAAUAAACUUUUUUUUUUUUUUUU
This is a long non-coding RNA of Symphalangus syndactylus (siamang), 1861 nucleotides long. RefSeq lists it as uncharacterized. The record is from RefSeq and is a predicted model, not a curated record. NCBI's taxonomy places the organism in Eukaryota, Metazoa, Chordata, Mammalia, Primates, Hylobatidae.